CACGUAGGCACCAAGCGUUGUCCGGAUUUAUUGGGCGUAAAGAGCUCGUAGGCGGUUCAGUAAGUCGGGUGUGAAAACUCUGGGCUCAACCCAGAGACGCCACCCGAUACUGCUGUGACUUGAGUACGGUAGGGGAGUGGGGAAUUCCUGGUGUAGCGGUGAAAUGCGCAGAUAUCAGGAGGAACACCAGUGGCGAAGGCGCCACUCUGGGCCGUAACUGACGCUGAGGCGCGAAAGCUAGGGGAGCAAACAGG
Molecule: ribosomal RNA, 254 nt
Filed under: uncultured bacterium
Lineage: Bacteria
Description: partial 16S ribosomal RNA
Rfam family: Bacterial small subunit ribosomal RNA
Source: RNAcentral